RNAcentral lists this ribosomal RNA (254 nucleotides) under uncultured bacterium. Its description in RNAcentral is "partial 16S ribosomal RNA". It matches the Rfam family "Bacterial small subunit ribosomal RNA", at positions 524 to 776 of the family's 1533-position model. The record is from RNAcentral.
UACAGAGGAGCCAAGCGUUGUUCGGAUUCAUUGGGCGUAAAGGGUGCGUAGGUGGCGCGCUAAGUCAGUUGUGAAAUUCCCCGGCUUAACCGGGUGGACUGCGAUUGAUACUGUUGAACUUGAAUGAGGUUGAGGUCGGCGGAAUGUGACAUGUAGCGGUGAAAUGCUUAGAUAUGUCAUAGAACACCGAUUGCGAAGGCAGCUGGCUAGACCUUUAUUGACGCUGAGGCACGAAAGCGUGGGGAGCAAACAGG